CCGAUGGAGGGGGAUAACUACUGGAAACGGUAGCUAAUACCGCAUAACGUCGCAAGACCAAAGAGGGGACCUUCGGGCCUCUUGCCAUCGGAUGUGCCCAGAUGGGAUAGCUAGUAGGUGGGGUAACGGCUCACCUAGGCGACGAUCCCUAGCUGGUCUGAGAGGAUGACCAGCCACACUGGAACUGAGACACGGUCCAG
Molecule: ribosomal RNA, 200 nt
Filed under: uncultured bacterium
Lineage: Bacteria
Description: partial 16S ribosomal RNA
Rfam family: Bacterial small subunit ribosomal RNA
Source: RNAcentral